UACGUAGGGUGCGAGCGUUAAUCGGAAUUACUGGGCGUAAAGCGUGCGCAGGCGGUUGUGCAAGACCGAUGUGAAAUCCCCGGGCUCAACCUGGGAAUGGCAUUGGUGACUGCACGGCUAGAGUGUGUUAGAGGGGGGUAGAAUUCCACGUGUAGCAGUGAAAUGCGUAGAUAUCGGGAGGAAUACCGAUGGCGAAGGCAGGUCUCUGGGCUGACACUGACGCUCAUGCACGAAAGCGUGGGGAGCAAACAGG
This 253-nucleotide ribosomal RNA is filed under the name uncultured bacterium. RNAcentral describes it as "partial 16S ribosomal RNA". It matches the Rfam family "Bacterial small subunit ribosomal RNA", at positions 524 to 776 of the family's 1533-position model. The record is from RNAcentral.